AAUUGAGAAAACAAGCAUCAUAAAUAGGGAAAUUUCAUUAAACAGUUGAGCCAUUUUGAUGCAUGCUAUUCUCGUGCGACCCCGCGACGUGGACAUUGUAUUUUGGCUUCACUAUAUGCAAGGCAUAAUUGAAAUUCAUUUAAACUGACUGAUCUCAGUUCAGAAGACUCUGGGCUGUCAAUUAAGGUUAAACCGGUGAAACAUGUGACACGUGAGUCAUGUGACAAAACAACAUGGCGCCGAUCACAGUGGAGUUUGUCUCUGGGAGAAACGCCAACAAAACUACAUCUGGUGUAAAUGAGUCAUCAUGGCAACGAAUGUGUAAAAUUGGAUAUGACUUAUCAUACAGUAGAUAAGGUUUUGUGAGAUUCUCUUAAGAAGAACCCACCAAAGAAGGAUUUGCAGCAAAUGGGGCUGCUGGGAGAAUGGGAAGGGUGGGGUUUUAGUUUAGAUAUGCUGUUCAUUCAAAACCUUUGGGAAAACCAGAACUGUCCUUGAAGACCCUUAUUAUUUUAGCGUAGUACACAAAGAGGCAGCCUCCUCAAACCUCACAACAAUUUUCUCUCCAUUUCUUAAGAACUCCCCCUUCACUCUCAAAUCCCGACUCACUUGACAGUAAGUCACCCUGCUAACACUGAGUUCCACCUCGCUGACCCAUCUUCUGCCUCUAUUGAGAGAGACUGCCUGUGUCCUUGUCAGUGCCCUUUUAAACAAACAGAGGAGAUCUCUGAGGAGGAAGAAGAGAGCAGUGGAGGAUGGUGGAAAAACAAAGCCCUACUCAGGAAGACACUCGCCUGCCCCGACCCUCUGCGCGAGAGCAGCAGGUAGGAGCGCUGCCACGGGACCGCCCCACUAAUAGUCGACCUUCAACGGCAGGACACUCAGCACACUCUUCUUUAGAAAAUGUCUGCGAUUGAUUGAACAACUGCACAGCAGGAGGCAGAUGUAAGUUGGCAAGUAUGGGGUUGGGAGCUUGCCUUCAAAAAUGUUUGAUUCUACCAUUGUUUACUUCUCCAAUAUGUUGUAGGUAUGUCUUCUUUUCUGACUGAUGGACUAUUCAGUGUUCCGAUUGGUCUGCCAACCUGGUUUUGUUUGCGAAGUCACUGUUCCUACUUAAUUAUUCGUCAACUGUUUUGUCAAUUGGACCUUGUGUGACACCGCUGUAAGUUUCUAUCAUCAAGUUUUAGAAAGCAAAAUACUGCAUGACUUCCUACUUGGAAAAGUGCACCAGAACUUUCUAACUUGGAAACUCAAUUGAAAAUCCACAACUGUGGAAAUCCACAAUUCCGAUUCUGUGUGGGUGACAUCACACGAACAUGGUGGCACCCAGUGAGAAACAUUGACUUUAAGCAAAUAAAAUGGAUAAAGGGGUCAAAGAUUGUCCGUUAAAAUGAUAACAAAGCCUGUUUGGCAAAUGUUUGCAGAGGCAGAUGUGUGUAAAACACAGUAAAAGAUCUUUUCCGUUGAUAAUUGUACACCUGGUGAACAUACGCUAGCAUUGCAUUGCAUCGUUUAUCCUCUGCAAUUUGAUAUAUAUGAGACUUCUGCUAAUUAACUGUAGUUUGCCAAUUUCUUUCUUUAAACGUCAUCUUCCGAGUCUCGAACAAUGGAAGUCUUUAUGGUCAGAAGCCAUACAUCGUACUUGAUAUCAAGAAGGGAUUUCGCACAACCAUUCUUUGAAUGGAAAUUCUGGUCCUGUUUUUGAACUGAGAUUUAACUGUGGGUGGAGCUCCCUAGCACAACAAGUCAAAAAGAGAAACCAAGGUACCUCUGUACGUUGCUUUUCACGGUUGCAACUGGUUAGCAUGAAAACUCAGGGGCAAAUUUAUUAAACAUUUGCAGGUGGUAGUUCAGAGUAAAAAGUCUUAUUCACUUACCAACCUAGUUUAAGCAGACCCAAUAAGCGACGAAAUAGCGCUGCAUCAAGUAUUUAAAUUAAGUUAUUGCCAUUCCUUUCUGCAAAAACACAUCACAUUUUUAUGUAAAUUAGGCUAUUUGUAUAUUGUGCUUUUAAAAAAAAAACUGGCCGGGACAAUUUACAUCACGCUAUUACCACCAGAGAAAAUAAGGCGGUAAACUGAAUUUUAUUUAAAAGAGAUGCUUGUGAACAUUUUCUAUUGAUCAUGGCAGUAGUAAUUCAUCAAAUGAAGGAGAAAAGCUUUGUAACCUGGCUAUCCACUGAAGGGGUGAAAAGCCAGUUCCCUUUUACUUUUAAAAGUUAUAUCUAAUCUUUUGUCAUCUCCAUUUAUUCUUAUUAUAUUAAUACAUUUUCUAUUUUCCUUUUACGAUAAGGUGCAAGAAACAUAUAUGUCAUCUGAGGGGUGACUGAUGGUCUGGCCCCAUUCCAGGAAUACAAUAACAGUGAUUAUUUAUUUAGCCCGGCUCCUGGAGGAUAUGCAUUUAUAUUGUACUGUAUUUAUUCACAAAAAUAUAUAUCCGUUAUAAUUAUUACAUAAUCAAAUAUUCUAUAACCAGUUGGUUCUAUGUUAAUCCAAUCAUUAUUAAUUAAAUGAGAGAGAGAUUUUAGUUAUGAUUUUAUUGUUGUCUAUGUUUUUAUAUGGUUACUAAAAGUAGCCAUUACAUACAAUAUAUCUACCUCAUAUAAUCAUUGAGUUUCUUUAUGUGAUUUUGUUGUCAUAUUAGGUGUCUAUGUGCUGCGUUUGACCAUGUGUGUGCUUUGUUUUUAUUUUUAUUUUAUCUUGCUUUUCACAGAUGUGGAGGCCCUACAUUCCAUCGAGAUUAACAAGAAGGCCUCCCGUCCUAGAGAUAGUGCUUACCCAUUGCAAUGUCUAACUCAUUCAAUGUUUGAUUUUUUUAUUGUGCCUGUAACAUGUGACUCUGCCAUAGUCAAAAACCUCAAAGGAUUUUAAUUACUUUCCUUGGUAUCUUCUGGAUAGCGAAAGAGGAUUGGUCAUAACUUAUAGCUAGCCUGUGAUAUCUACACAUAAGUUCGGUAAAACCAAUGAUGGGAACUGAUAAAUGUUAUGGCUAACUAAUUACUGUAUGCAUGAAGGUGGAAACAGACCAUAUUUGUAAAGUGUUAGGAUGUUUGAAGUAAGUGACCUAUCAGAAUCAUAGAAAGUGUUGUACUGUGACACCUCUAAUUCAAUUUGUAAAUGACUAUAAUUGCUUGUGAAUGUUUUUGAAUGAAGGUUCAAACUGACUUGUGAUGCUCAUUGGAUCAGCAGAGGACAAUCAGUAAACUCUCUCUCAAGUGUUUGUAAACCUGAUUCUGAGUUUUUAUUCCUCAAUAUUCAUAUUGGGGACCCAGCUGUUACCCCCAACAGUUUAUGGUGCAGAAUGUGGGCAACUUCUUCAGUGUAACCUUGAUCAACCAACAUUAAGAGAGGGCUGUUAUCAAAGUUACAGGACACUCCAAGGAAAACUCCUUUGAAUCUAAGGGAAACAACGCAGCUGAUCCGGCUGCACAAGAGACUGAUCCUUUGAGAAAGCACACAGACAGAGAAAGAGAGAGGUUCUCUCUCUUUCUCUUGUGGAAAAGGAAGAUGGGGGUGUAAAUGAUAAAGACAUUUUUUUUUUUUACUUUAUGCUAUUGAUGAUGGGGAUGAGCAGGAGCAAUGGACUAAGUUGGGUGCACAAUUAAAUCCUGAUGGACUAUGGAAGUUUAAUGAUCGUAUUGGAUGUCCUGCUUCUAUUCGUGUUGAACUCAUGUAUUUGUAUCACAGUUUGGCUCAUGCAGGUACUGAAAAAAAGCAUUCCAUGAUUGCAAAACAUGAUGGUGGCCAAAAAUGAGGUCCGCUUGCACUGACUUUUGUAAAAGAUAUCUAGUAUGCUUGAAGGUAUAUUCCCCAUUAAAACUCAAAAUUCCUUUGGAAUAUGCUCCCAGGCCACAUGGCCCAUGGACACAUUUAAAAACUGAUUUCAUUGGUCCUUUACCUCCUAGUGGGGUUGUACAUACAUAUUAAUGGUUGUUGAUUUGUUUUCAAGAUGGGUGGAGGCUUUUCCACUGAGAAACUGCAAGGCAGAUGCCACAGCCAAACCAAUGCUUAAUGAGGUAUUCCAUAGAUGGGGACUGCCUUUGCAAAUUGAUUCAGAUCAGUGAACUAAUUUUACUGGUAAAGUAAUGAAAAAUGUCAUGAACUUUAUGGGAGUCAGACAGCAUUUCCACAUACCUUUUAGACCGCAGACUAGUGGUUCUGUGGAGCAUACAAAUCGUACUCUGAAAAUUGCUCUGAGAAAGAGAGUGCUGGAGCAGGGGAAGAGAUGGCACUCAGCAUUGCCAAUGAUUCUCUUUAGCAUGAGGGCUAGCCCAAACAAAACAAUUCAUCUUAGCCAUUUUAAGUUCAUGACUGGCAGAUACAUGCGUCUUCCGUGGGAUGCGCCUUUGCAACAUGAGGGUCCUACAUGAAAGAUGCUCUUAAAAAUGAUCUGAAGGUUUUGGAUCAAAGUUUGAGAGAUACUUGAGUAAGUGUCAUUAUUAGACAGGCCGAAAAAGAUCAAAAAGAUUCAAAACCAACACCAAAUCUCCCUGAAGUUGGAGAUAAAGUUAUGAUGCAGUGUGAAAUUGUUACUCCUCUUGGUCCUAAAUUUGACAGACCUUAUUUCAUAUUGUUGACAACAAACACAUCUGUCUUACUGGAUAGGGGAGCUUUAGGGUCAGUAUGGAGACAUUGGUCACAGGUGAAACCCAUUGGGGGAGAUCACGCCUAAACCCUAUUUCCUAUUUCCUAAUUUUCCCCAUGAGUAACACUCACAUUGUUUUUUGCCUUUUGUGUGACUAACCUCAUUCUGGUACCAGUCUCUUUUCAUUGCAGAUGGCUGGGCCAGAUGACGCAUUGAAGCUGCUAAUACUGCAGGAGGAAGUCCCGAGUAAAAGAAGACUGAAAAUGAGGCAGGCUUUUAUCCGAUUGCUCAUCCCGCUCUCAUUACUGCUGGCAAUCAUUAUUGCCUUGUCAUUUCUAAUGUGGAUUCAAAUUUCUCUCUGGACAGGUUGAUUUUAGUGGUGCACCAAUCAGGAAAUUUGAGGCCGAUACCGAUCUCCAAUUUUUUAACACUAAGAUCGGUCGAUACCAAUAACGUUUUUUUUUUUUUUUUUAAAGUGACCUUUGCCACACUUUUGCAAGUUAUAUGCUGCAAUUAUAUGUUUAUGCCCCACACAGUAAAAUUACGGUAAGUCUUUACAAAAAGGUUUCAUUUGUUACAUUAUUUAACAACAUUACUGUAGUUAACAUGAACUAAUGAACUUAAUUUUAGUUACAACAUAUACUAUACAUUUUUAAAAUCAAAAGUUGUAUUAGUUAACAUUAAUGCACUAUGAACUAACAUGAACUAACAAUGAACAAUCAUAUUUUUAUUAAUUAGCAUUAGGAUUAAUAAAUGCUGUAAAAAAUAUAUUGUUAAUUGUUUGUUCAUGAUACCUAAUGCAUAAACUAAUGUUAAAGAAAUGAAACCUUUUUAGUGUUACCAAAAUUAGAUUAAAAUUACAUUAAUUGUGAUUUGCUAACAUUUAUUUGUUUUGAAACAGUAUAAUGAAUAGUUCUGUUGUCAAUAUCAAAAGGUCAUUGUGACAUACUGGUAAGCAGUAAAAACCAUGAGAGCAUCACACACAGCAGAGAUCCUUUCAAAAAUAAGAAAAAUAUAUCCAUUACAAGCUCUAAAACUGCUCCAGAGAGAAAUCAUUAAUAUCUAUGAUUUAUUUACUGUCUUUGAUGUCUUGUUGUAACACAAAUCACUAAUUAUUAAGCAAAUGCGUGAAGACGCGAUGCCGUUAUUGAAGGUUAAACAGUUAUACUGUAUGUCUUACCAUGUGCCAGGUGCUCGAGACAAAAUAGAGUCCAACGUGGUAAUGAAGACAGUGAUUUAUCACUAUACUGACAAAUCUAUCUUUGCCCGGGACAUUCCUUCUUCUAACUGGUACAAAAAUAUAAUGAAAGACAAAUUUCUGAUGAGGUGGAAUGUACUUAAGCCAGUUAAAGUUAAUGUUGUCAGAUGGGAUGUAAAUAGAACCAACAGAGCUGUCUGUGAUCAAUUGGGGAGAAUUGAUAAAACUUCAAAGGAUACUUUCGAUCUGAAAGAAAGUAAUAAUAAAUUACCUCUUGGGAAUGCUCUUUCACUAUAUUGGCCUAGAUACACUAAAACUGAUGAUCUGUGGAAGAUGACUAUACAUGCUGAACGAUGCAUAGGCAGAGGGAUCAGACAAUGUUUUUUUGAUACUUUCCCCUCAGAUCAAAAGGAUGAGUUAAACUAGAUUAUAAUUGUGCUAGUUUUACUGACAUCUACAUACAAUAUAAAAUGGCAAUGAUGUUCACUAACAAAUCAGUUAUUGGAAUGGAACAACUCCAUGAUCAUUUAGAAGGAAAAUGUCAGAACCCCACAUCCAUGGUUUGCAAUACAACUGUUUGGAUGCAUUUCAAUAUGUAUCACUUGAUUAAGGAAAUUAUCUCCAGUAGGAUCAUCAAAUCACUUUUGCCUGUGUCAUUUAUUGAUCUCGAAUGGAAAGAUUACAAGCCUUUUCAAGUUUUCAUGUGGCCUCAGGUUUCAGAUGUAGCUCUAGGAGAUGAGUGGUUUGAGAAUUAUUUUUGUUCUUGCAAUUUCUAAGACCAAUUCCUUCUGUACAAGAAUUAAGCGAUCUCCAAUCCAAAUCCAAAACUGGGAAAUUUUCCAUAUUCAAAAUAGUUCAGGCAUUAGGUCCUGAUUGGAAAUCAAAAGACUCACACAAAGUCUGCAGAUACUGACUCCUGUGUAGCUGAAUUACAGAACAAAACUGAGUAUUAUCCUAAACUAAACUCUCAACUCACACAAGAAACUUACAUUGACAUGUUUCUCAAACAGAUCAAAACAAAUGAUGCAUUUGCAGGACAUGAAUAUCUAAAUUCAGCCUGGCUUCGAUCGGAUGGUAAACCAUUUUUAUCUGACCCUGAUGGACCUACCGCUUCAGCCAUAGCAUUGAUGUUUGCCUUUACAGUUGAUAGUGUUUUCACUGACAUCUCAGAAUUUGUUGAGGAAUUUGUUGAAGAGGCUUGGGAGGAUUUUGUGGAAGCUUCAGAAACAGUAAUAGUUGGUUUAGGGAGAUAUCUAUUGUAUGCCUUCGGCGCACUAAUGGGACUAAUUGCCCUUUUCUUAAUUGUAUGGAUGAUGAUUCGCUUUUGCUUUUCAUAUGUGUUCAAGUCUGCUUGAAGAACUGUUAACCCCUCUGAAGAGGAUGAAUGUCUGGUGAAGCUGGCAUCGAACCUCAGGACCCACUUGAGGGAAGAAAACACCAGUGCCCUGCUGUGAGUGGGAGGUGGGAGAGCCUCUACAUGGGGACCAGAAUUUUUAGGUUCUGGCAUGUCCUCACUUGUAGACCAUUGUAGGGUAUUUGACCCCACACCGGUCUAAAAUGGAGGAGUGAAGGGGUGAAUAGCCAAUUCCCUUUUACAAGUUAUAUCUCAUAUUUUGUCUCCAUUUAUUCUUAUUAUAUUAAUCAAUUUUCUAUUUUCCUUUUACGAUAAGGUGUAAGUAACAUGUAUGUCAUCUGAGGGGUGACUGAUUGUCUGGCCCCAUUCCAGGAAUACAAUAACAGUGAUUAUUAUUUAGCCCGGCUCCUGGAGGAUAUGCAUUUAUAUUGUACUGUAUUUAUUCACAAAAAUAUAUAUCCGUUAUAAUUAUUACAUAAUUAAAUAUUCUAUAACCAGUUGAUUCUAUGUUAAUCCAAACAUUAUUAAUUAAAUGAGAGAGAGAGAUUUUAGUUAUGAUUUUACUAUUAUCUAUGUUUUUAUAUGGUUACUAAAAGUAGCCAUUACAUACAAUAUAUCUACCUCAUAUAAUCAUUGAGCUGAAACUUUGAGUUUCUUUAUGUGAUUUUGUUGUUAUAUUAGGUGACUAUGUGCUGCGUUUGACCUUGUGUGUGCUUUUUUAUUUUUAUUUUGUCUUGCUUUUCACAGAUGUGGAGGCCCCAUUCCAUUCGAUUAACAAGAAGGCCUCCCGUCCUAGAGAUAGCGCUUACCCAUUGCAAUGUCUAACUCAUUCAAUGUUUGAUUUUUUUAUUGUGCCUGUAACAUGUGACUCUGCCAUAGUCAAAAACCUCAAAGGAUUUUAAUUACUUUCCUUGGUAUCUUCUGGAUAGCGAAAGAGGAUCGGUCAUAACUUAUAGCUAACCUGUGAUAUCUGCACAUAAGUUCUGUAAAACCAAUGAUGGGAACUGAUUAAUGUUAUGGCUAACUAAUUACUGUUUGCACGAAGGUGGAAACAGACCAUAUUUGUAAAGUGUUAGGAUGUUUGAAGUAAGUGACCUAUCAGAAUCUUAAAAAGUGUUGUACUGUGACACCUCUAAUUCAAUUUGUAUAUAUCUAUAAUUGCUUGUGAAUAUUUUUGAAUUAAGGUUUUUUUCUUCUUCUGUAUUUCUGAACUACUGGAUCCCAUUGACUUGUGAUGCUAAUUGGAACUGCAGAGAACAAUCAGUAAACUUUCUCUCAAUUGAGUUUUUAUUCCUCAAUAUUCAUAUUGGGGACCCAACUAUUACCCCCAGCACCACAUACACAUAUCCAUAACAUAUUUACAUGUGCGGUGUAGUCAAGCACAC
Molecule: long non-coding RNA, 8521 nt
Organism: Myxocyprinus asiaticus (Chinese sucker)
Lineage: Eukaryota; Metazoa; Chordata; Actinopteri; Cypriniformes; Catostomidae
Exons: 5
Source: RefSeq, a predicted model, not a curated record